AACGGACGAGAAGCUUGCUUCUCUGAUGUUAGCGGCGGACGGGUGAGUAACACGUGGAUAACCUACCUAUAAGACUGGGAUAACUUCGGGAAACCGGAGCUAAUACCGGAUAAUAUUUUGAACCGCAUGGUUCAAAAGUGAAAGACGGUCUUGCUGUCACUUAUAGAUGGAUCCGCGCUGCAUUAGCUAGUUGGUAAGGUAACGGCUUACCAACGCAGCGAUGCAUAGCCGACCUGAGAGGGUGAUCGGCCACACUGGAACUGAGACACGGUCCAGACUCCUACGGGAGGCAGCAGUAGGGAAUCUUCCGCAAUGGGCGAAAGCCUGACGGAGCAACGCCGCGUGAGUGAUUGAAGGUCUUCGGAUCGUAAAACUCUGUUAUUAGGGAAGAACAUAUGUGUAAGUAACUGUGCACAUCUUGACGGUACCUAAUCAGAAAGCCACGGCUAACUACGUGCCAGCAGCCGCGGUAAUACGUAGGUGGCAAGCGUUAUCCGGAAUUAUUGGGCGUAAAGCGCGCGUAGGCGGUUUUUUAAGUCUGAUGUGAAAGCCCACGGCUCAACCGUGGAGGGUCAUUGGAAACUGGAAAAUCUUGAGUGCAGAAGAGGAAAGUGGAAUUCCAUGUGUAGCGGUGAAAUGCGCAGAGAUAUGGAGGAACACCAGUGGCGAAGGCGACUUUCUGGUCUGUAA
Molecule: ribosomal RNA, 690 nt
Filed under: uncultured Staphylococcus sp.
Lineage: Bacteria; Bacillati; Bacillota; Bacilli; Caryophanales; Staphylococcaceae
Description: bacterial SSU rRNA
Rfam family: Bacterial small subunit ribosomal RNA
Source: RNAcentral